GAUGAACGCUAGCGAUAGGCUUAACACAUGCAAGUCGAGGGGUAACGUGUUGGAAGCUUGCUUCCGAUGACGACGACCGGCGGAUGGGUGCGUAACGCGUAUGCAACUUGCCUCACAGCGGAGAAUAACCCGGAGAAAUCCGGACUAAUGCUCCAUACACUCUUAGGGACACAUGUCUCUGAGAGGAAAGAUUUAUCGCUGUGAGAUAGGCAUGCGUCCUAUUAGGUAGUUGGUGAGGUAACGGCUCACCAAGCCGACGAUAGGUAGGGGUGCUGAGAGGCAGAUCCCCCACAUUGGGACUGAGACACGGCCCAAACUCCUACGGGUGGCAGCAGUGAGGAAUAUUGGUCAAUGGAGGAAACUCUGAACCAGCCAAGUCGCGUGAAGGAAGAAUGUCCUAAGGAUUGUAAACUUCUUUAGCGAGCGAGUAACGACUUCCACGCGUUUGGGAGUUGGAAAGUAGCUCGAGAAAUAAUAUCGGCUAACUCCGUGCCAGCAAGCCCCGGAAUACGGAAGAUACGAGCGUUAUUCCGAAUUUAUGGGGUUUAAAGGGUGCGCAGGUGGUCCUGCAAGUCAGUGGUGAAAAGCUGAGGCUCAUUCUCAGCCUUGCCGUUGAAACUGCAGGACUUGAGAGUACAUGUUGUGGGCGGAAUGCGUAGUGUAGCGGUGAAAUGCAUAGAUAUUACGCAGAACUCCGAUUGCGAAGGCAGCUCACAAAGGUAUGUCUGACACUGAGGCACGAAAGCGUGGGGAGCAAACAGGAUUAGAUACCCUGGUAGUCCACGCCGUAAACGAUGAUUACUCGAAGUGUGCGAUAUGACAGUAUGCUUCCAAGCGAAAGUGAUAAGUAAUCCACCUGGGGAGUACGCCGGCAACGGUGAAACUCAAAGGAAUUGACGGGGGCCCGCACAAGCGGAGGAACAUGUGGUUUAAUUCGAUGAUACGCGAGGAACCUUACCCGGGAUUGAAAUGUAUGUGCACCUCUUGGGAAACCGAGAGGGUUCUCUUCGGAGACACAUAUGUAGGUGCUGCAUGGUUGUCGUCAGCUCGUGCCGUGAGGUGUCGGCUUAAGUGCCAUAACGAGCGCAACCCUUAUCGUCAGUUACUAACAGGUCAAGCUGAGGACUCUGGCGAGACUGCCGUCGUAAGGCGAGAGGAAGGUGGGGAUGACGUCAAAUCAGCACGGCCCUUACAUCCGGGGCGACACACGUGUUACAAUGGUAGGGACAGAGAGUAGCCACUCGGUGACGAGGAGCGGAUCUUGAAACCCUAUCUCAGUUCGGAUCGGAGUCUGCAACUCGACUCCGUGAAGCCGGAUUCGCUAGUAAUCGCGCAUCAGCCAUGGCGCGGUGAAUACGUUCCCGGGCCU
Molecule: ribosomal RNA, 1369 nt
Filed under: uncultured bacterium
Lineage: Bacteria
Description: bacterial SSU rRNA
Rfam family: Bacterial small subunit ribosomal RNA
Source: RNAcentral